Long non-coding RNA from Cercocebus atys (sooty mangabey), 310 nucleotides. RefSeq lists it as uncharacterized. The transcript is spliced from 3 exons. The record is from RefSeq and is a predicted model, not a curated record. NCBI's taxonomy places the organism in Eukaryota, Metazoa, Chordata, Mammalia, Primates, Cercopithecidae.
CAGCCUGUGCAAAGGCAUGGGGGCACCUCUUUCCUUAGACAUGCAGAGCUACAAUCUACAAGAUCUGACCCUGGCCUGGAGGAGGUGGAGGCAAUAUCCGGAGAGAGAGCGAGAGAUUCCUAUAGAAUACAAGACAAGACUAUCACAAUGAGCUGAAAUAUUGUGUCUGUGAAAGUAAUGAGAAGCACAGUGGAGACAAGUUUCUGAAGGAUGGAAGAGGCUGGAGGCUGUCUGGUGGGAGAAGGUUCCCAGACACGUGAGAGACUCAGCAACAGGUAAGAAAAUAAGUUGGUAAAGAAGAGACAUAGUG